UUUCAGCGGUUUUUAUCAGAUUCCUGUUCUGAUAAAAGUUGGUGAGAUGGCAAACCGCCAACGUAGCGACUCGCAGUGGAUUGACACCGAGACGAUACGUUUUUUU
RNAcentral lists this non-coding RNA (106 nucleotides) under Vagococcus teuberi. RNAcentral describes it as "23S methyl RNA motif". It matches the Rfam family "23S methyl RNA motif". Lineage: Bacteria; Bacillati; Bacillota; Bacilli; Lactobacillales; Enterococcaceae. The record is from RNAcentral.